Molecule: long non-coding RNA, 900 nt
Organism: Pan troglodytes (chimpanzee)
Lineage: Eukaryota; Metazoa; Chordata; Mammalia; Primates; Hominidae
Exons: 5
Source: RefSeq, a predicted model, not a curated record
GUGGUAGUGAAUAAGUCUCACGAGAUCUGAUGGUUUUAUAAAUAGGAGUUCCCCGGCGCAAGCGUUCCUGUCUGCCGCAAUGUAAGACGUGGUUUUGCUGCUCAUGUGCCUUCCGCCAUGACUGUGAGGACUCCCCAGCUAUGUGGAACGGAAAUAGAGUCUCAUGUGUCACACGGGCUGAAGUUCAGUGGCGCAAUCAUAGCUCAUUGCAGCCUUGACUUCUUGUGUUCAAGGGAUCCUCCCACCUCAGCCUCCCAAGUAGCUGGGACUAUAGGCAGAGAGCUCCGAGAGGGCACAUUCGGGUCUGGUCAUAGCUGUGCACUUGAAUCCCAUCAAGAGGCUGGAAUGGAGUAGAGGCCUCAGUGUACACGGCUGCAGGAGACUAGGUAGAAAGGUGAGCUGGACUCAUGGCCAGGUGCUGGCUAAUAUAGCCCCUGCAUGAGAGAAGAGAGGCCUCAUCCCCGGUUCAGUCCUUGGCUCCUCACGCUCUCUUGAUGGAGCAGGGCCCCUGAAAAGGUGGAAGUCAUCUUCUUCCGUGAUUGUAAGCAAUCCCUCGCCUGGUUCAAGGGAGGCCUCUCCUGUUCUGAUCACCACAUCAUCCACCCACCCAUCCAUCCAUUCCACGUUUCCUGAGGGCAUCCUGUGUGUGCUGGACACCGGAGUUACAACAGGGAACAAGUCUUGGUCUCUGUCCUUAAGGAGCGCCCCAUCGAAUGGUGCAGACAUGGACAAAGUCAGUCACGGUCAGUGUGGACUGUGAUGCGAGGGAGGAGAGAAACACUCAGAUGGCUCCGGAAUGCUUCUCAACUCUGCAAGUCUGUGUGAUGCCCGUGUCCCUUUGAUUUACUUUUCUUCAAAAUGAAUAUAUUUUAAAAUGUUUUUACAUUUCUUCAUUUCAUU